This is a non-coding RNA of Pelobates cultripes (western spadefoot toad), 280 nucleotides long. The record is from the annotation of a GenBank genome assembly. Lineage: Eukaryota; Metazoa; Chordata; Amphibia; Anura; Pelobatidae.
CUUACGCCUUCGGGAGCGGAGGUUCAGUGGUCUGGCACCAGUUACAUGGAGGGGGUGUGGUCCUCCUCGUACGGGGUCAGCUGUCCCGCCUCAUGGAGGUACCAGGGGUUUUUGUCAUCUCUGGGUGGAAUGACAUGGGUUCGGUGUUGUAUUUGGUGCUCUUCAAUCUGGACAUGUUGCGCAUUCUGUUUUUCUUCCCAUAGGUUCUCAGGGGCUAGGCUGAGGCGAUCGCCCGUUCCUGUCGGCAGUGCGCUCAGCAAUGUGAGUGCAUUGGUGCGAU